AGAAUCAAUUGUCUGUAGCCACAGCAACCAGGUCAGCAGGAAUGAAUUUAUCGAAAACAUUGAGAAUCGCUGCAACCAACAUGGAGGACCCAGAGAUCAUUACUUUUACUGGGAAAUUAGAUGGAUCUUGUUGGUUCUUCUACUCCUUACAGUUUGUAAUCUACAUAUAUAUAUUCACAAGAAAGCAGGUGACAAACACAACUUCGACAACAAGGUGGUAAACGAACAAACUGAAACAUUGAAUGAAACGGCUGAAGAUGAAGUUCGUUUUGCAAACCCCACCAACAGCACAGGUGAAUCUUCUAUGACUGCGGGAGCCACCAGUACUAGAAGCAGUGACCAAUGAGAGAAUGUGUAUUCACAGAUAAAAAAAAAACUUCUAAAUGACUGAACUGGUGACUUUGAAAAGAACUGGAAGAUCUGCGAAAAGUCCAGUGUGAUGUGAUAAGAUGUGGUGAGAUGAUACCAUUUAUCCUGUGAAAAGUGAUUACCCUGGACAGGGUUUGUAGCUGAGCAGCCAGAUAGUUUGCCAGCUAAUGUUAGCUUUCAGCUGUGGAAUAUCUCUGUAAUUGUGUAAAGGUUUACUAGUAUAGCUUUCAGUCUUGCUGUUGAGGAUGAGGCCCCAUGCAUAUUCACCAGCACCACAGGAUGUGACAUGUUUCCUGUAAGGACCACGUACUGCUAAAUAUUAUAGGGUGGAGCUUUGUAACUAUGUCUCAUCCAACAGUAUCAGAAGGACUCAUGCACAAAAUUCAAAGUUAGUGUGUUUUGCACUGAUCAGUAGCUGAUCACACCAAGCUUUAACAUUGGUUUCACAAGUUAUGUUGCAAGUUUUUUUAAUUUUUUUUAUGUGAACUGCUGCUCCUCUCGGUUCCUCAUUGCUAAAUAUGUCACCAUCACUUCUCUUUUUUAUUCUUCAACCAGAAAAAACUGUUAUUAUAGCUCUCAGUAGAGAGCAUCCAUUUGAAACUCACAAACACACAUAUCUACUUAUAUAAUGUAUUUAGUACUCACAGUAACUUUAUGAUGUAUAAAUUAGACAACUGGUUGUGUUGAAUAUGCAUCAGCAGAGACUAGGGCAAUGAAUCUCUUGUGUGCACAAAUGUUAGACAAGUUUUAUUUUAACUGCUUGUUUGCUAAACAUAAAAUGUAGAGAUGAGAAAAAAGCCAAAAAAUAACUUACUGUUUUUUUAUCAUGUAUAAAAUGGUAAUAAAUUACACUUUAAUUCUUGUUGAAACUUGGUGUAAUGAAGUUUUGAUUGCCAACUUUAGCAGGCUUCAUAUGGGCUUUCCAACAAAGUUAAUAACUGAUUAAGAUUUUAUCCUGACAAACAUAACGAGGUGUUAAACCUUGUAGACAA
Molecule: long non-coding RNA, 1361 nt
Organism: Poeciliopsis prolifica (blackstripe livebearer)
Lineage: Eukaryota; Metazoa; Chordata; Actinopteri; Cyprinodontiformes; Poeciliidae
Exons: 4
Source: RefSeq, a predicted model, not a curated record